Molecule: ribosomal RNA, 328 nt
Filed under: uncultured Pelotomaculum sp.
Lineage: Bacteria; Bacillati; Bacillota; Clostridia; Eubacteriales; Desulfotomaculaceae
Description: bacterial SSU rRNA
Rfam family: Bacterial small subunit ribosomal RNA
Source: RNAcentral
GUCAGCUCGUGUCGUGAGAUGUUGGUUAAGUCCCGCAACGAGCGCAACCCCUACGUUUAGUUGCUAACGCGUGAAGGCGAGCACUCUAGACGAACUGCCGUUGACAAAACGGAGGAAGGUGGGGAUGACGUCAAAUCAUCAUGCCCCUUAUGUUCUGGGCUACACACGUGCUACAAUGGCCGGUACAGACGGACGCAAAGCCGCGAGGCGGAGCAAAUCCGAAAAAGCCGGUCUCAGUUCGGAUUGCAGGCUGCAAUUCGCCUGCAUGAAGUCGGAAUCGCUAGUAAUCGCAGGUCAGCAUACUGCGGUGAAUACGUUCCCGGGCCUU